UUGGAGAUGAAUACCCUUUGGGUAAAAAAGAAUUCUGUUCUAUAAAAUUCUAGAUAAAAAAAAUGAAACGACAACUUUUAUCUAUGUGUCUUGACCAAAUCACGUGCCAGCAGUCGCGGUAAGACGUGGAAGACUAGUAUUAUUCAUCUUUAAUAGGUUUAAAGGGUACCUAGACAGUCGAUAAAGCCUAAAAUAAAGUGAAGGAACUAAUUGACUAGAGUGUUAUGAGAGAAAAUAGAAUGAUGAGUGUAGAGAUAAAAUUCUGUGAUACCAUUUUAGACUGGCAAAAGCGAAGGCAAUUUUUUAUGUAAACACUGACGUUAAGGGACGAAGGCUUAUGAUAACGAACAGGAUUAGAUACCCUAGUAAUCGAAGCAGACAAUGAUGAGUGCCAUAUAUAAGUAAUAAGUAAUAAAAAACUCUUACUUCACAUAUAUAUAAAUGAAAAUGUAAGCACUCCACCUCAAGAGUAAUACGGCAACGUAUAAACUGAAAUCACUAGACCGUUUCUGAAACCAGCAGUGAAGUAUGUUAUUUAAUUUGAUGAUCCGCGGAAAACCUUACCACAAUUUGAAUAUUUAUAUUUUAAUAUAAUUACAGGUGUUGCACGGCUGUCUUCAGUUGAUGUCGUGAGAUUUUGGUUAGUUCCAUUAAAUUAACGUAAACCCUUACUUUAUUUGUUAUAAAGUAGCUCAUCGCUAUAUUGAAAUGUGAUAAGA
RNAcentral lists this ribosomal RNA (719 nucleotides) under Ebollia kunmingensis. RNAcentral's name for it is "SSU rRNA". It matches the Rfam family "Bacterial small subunit ribosomal RNA", at positions 401 to 1170 of the family's 1533-position model. Lineage: Eukaryota; Fungi; Ascomycota; Lecanoromycetes; Ostropales; Stictidaceae. The record is from RNAcentral.